RNAcentral lists this ribosomal RNA (448 nucleotides) under Aeribacillus sp. U22D023. RNAcentral describes it as "bacterial SSU rRNA". It matches the Rfam family "Bacterial small subunit ribosomal RNA", at positions 95 to 526 of the family's 1533-position model. Lineage: Bacteria; Bacillati; Bacillota; Bacilli; Caryophanales; Bacillaceae. The record is from RNAcentral.
GCGGCGGACGGGUGAGUAACACGUGGGCAACCUGCCCUGCAGACUGGGAUAACUUCGGGAAACCGGAGCUAAUACCGGAUAACACCGAAAACCGCAUGGUUUUCGGUUGAAAGGCGGCUUUUAGCUGUCACUGCAGGAUGGGCCCGCGGCGCAUUAGCUAGUUGGUGAGGUAACGGCUCACCAAGGCGACGAUGCGUAGCCGACCUGAGAGGGUGACCGGCCACACUGGGACUGACACACGGCCCACACUCCUACGGGAGGCAGCAGUAGGGAAUCUUCCGCAAUGGACGAAAGUCUGACCGACCAACGCCACGAGAGCCAACAAGGUCUUCGGAUCUGUAAAGCUCUGUUGUCAGGGAAGAACAAGUGCCGUUCGAACAGGGCGGUACCUUGACGGUACCUGACGAGGAAGCCACGGCUAACUACGUGCCAGCAGCCGCGGUAAUAC